AUUCUACGUAAACGUCUGUGGUUAAUUCACGUAAAGGUUCGAAUUCGUUAUUUAUCUAUACAAUAGCCUACAAGUAGAUACAAAAACAGUUAUUAACAAAACGCUUCGGGCGUUUUUCGUGGGAAUCAUUCAAAAGGUUAAUACUGGAUGUCGUUGGAAAAACAAAUGGAAUUACCUCACCUCCUACGAACAUCGCCCACAGAGCUUAUGAUUGUCUCAAGAUUGACUUAUAACCAGCGAAUGAUAUCAGAAUAAAGAACAAGUAAAAAA
This is a long non-coding RNA of Manduca sexta (tobacco hornworm), 270 nucleotides long. RefSeq lists it as uncharacterized. The transcript is spliced from 2 exons. Lineage: Eukaryota; Metazoa; Arthropoda; Insecta; Lepidoptera; Sphingidae. The record is from RefSeq and is a predicted model, not a curated record.